GACGAACGCUGGCGGCGCGCCUAACACAUGCAAGUCGAACGGAGCGCACUGUGUGAAGCCCUUCGGGGUGGAACUUUGUGUUGCUUAGUGGCGAACGGGUGAGUAACACGUGAGCAACCUACCUUUCAGUGGGGGACAACAUUUGGAAACAGAUGCUAAUACCGCAUAAGACCACAGCCGGACAUCCGGCAGCGGCCAAAGGAGCAAUUCGCUGAAAGAUGGGCUCGCGCCCGAUUAGAUAGUUGGUGAGGUAACGGCCCACCAAGUCUGCGAUCGGUAGCCGGACUGAGAGGUUGAACGGCCACAUUGGGACUGAGACACGGCCCAGACUCCUACGGGAGGCAGCAGUGGGGAAUAUUGCACAAUGGACGCAAGUCUGAUGCAGCGACGCCGCGUGAGGGAAGAAGGUUUUCGGAUUGUAAACCUCUGUCUUCGGGGACGAUAAUGACGGUACCCGAGGAGGAAGCCACGGCUAACUACGUGCCAGCAGCCGCGGUAAAAC
This 502-nucleotide ribosomal RNA is filed under the name uncultured bacterium. RNAcentral describes it as "bacterial SSU rRNA". It matches the Rfam family "Bacterial small subunit ribosomal RNA", at positions 28 to 526 of the family's 1533-position model. The record is from RNAcentral.